This 390-nucleotide RNase P RNA is filed under the name Paragemmobacter amnigenus. RNAcentral's name for it is "RNase P RNA component class A". It matches the Rfam family "Bacterial RNase P class A". From Rfam's summary of the family: Ribonuclease P (RNase P) is a ubiquitous endoribonuclease, found in archaea, bacteria and eukarya as well as chloroplasts and mitochondria. The record is from RNAcentral. Lineage: Bacteria; Pseudomonadati; Pseudomonadota; Alphaproteobacteria; Rhodobacterales; Paracoccaceae.
GCGGAUGGCCGGAUGACCGCGGGGGGCGACCUUCGAGGAAAGUCCGGACUCCAUGAAGCAAGGGUGCCGGGUAACGCCCGGCGGGGGCAACCCCAGGGAAAGCGCCACAGAGAAGAGUCUGCCCCGCUUGCGGGGUGAUGGUGAAACGGUGGGGUAAGAGCCCACCGCGGACUUGGCAACAAGGACGGCACGGCAAGCCCCACCCGGAGCAAUGCCGAAUAGGGGCCUCGCGCGGAAAGGUCUGGCGAUCGUCAGAGACCUCCGCAGGGACGCUUCAGCCCAGAGGCCCGGGUUGGCAGCUUGACCGCCGUGGCAACACGGACGGCAGAGGAAUGGUCAUCCAAGGGGGCAACCCCGGGACAGAAUCCGGCUUACAGGCUAUCCGCGCGU